AACACGGGGAAACUCACCAGGUCCAGACACAUUAAGGAUUGACAGAUUGAGAGCUCUUUCUUGAUUAUGUGGGUGGUGGUGCAUGGCCGUUCUUAGUUGGUGGAGUGAUUUGUCUGCUUAAUUGCGAUAACGAACGAGACCUUAACCUGCUAAAUAGCCAGGCUAGCUUUUGCUGGUCGCCGGCUUCUUAGAGGGACUAUCGGCUCAAGCCGAUGGAAGUUUGAGGCAAUAACAGGUCUGUGAUGCCCUUAGAUGUUCUGGGCCGCACGCGCGCUACACUGACAGAGCCAACGAGUAUAAACCUUAACCGAGAGGUUUGGGUAAUCUUGUUAAACUCUGUCGUGCUGGGGAUAGGGCAUUGCAAUUAUUGCCCUUCAACGAGGAAUAUCUAGUAAGCGCAAGUCAUCAGCUUGCGUUGAUUACGUCCCUGCCCUUUGUACACACCGCCCGUCGCUACUACCGAUUGAAUGGCUCAGUGAGGCCUUCGGACUGGCUCCAGG
This 500-nucleotide ribosomal RNA is filed under the name uncultured eukaryote. Its description in RNAcentral is "SSU rRNA". It matches the Rfam family "Eukaryotic small subunit ribosomal RNA", at positions 1202 to 1725 of the family's 1831-position model. The record is from RNAcentral.